This 286-nucleotide long non-coding RNA is filed under the name Elaeis guineensis (African oil palm). Its description in RNAcentral is "long non-coding RNA (EGUI_LNC025900)". Lineage: Eukaryota; Viridiplantae; Streptophyta; Magnoliopsida; Arecales; Arecaceae. The record is from RNAcentral.
UUCGAAAGUCUAAGAGUGGUGGUUCUUUAACCCCCGAAAGGGUCUAUCCUUUAUUACCGAUCUUCCAUCGUCCAUUCAUGGAUGGAAGAACCAGUUCUUCUUUGCUUCUUCUUCCUUUUCUUAAGAUUUAUCUUCUCGUUGGAGUGAUCCACGAACCGGUCCCAACAACAACAGCCGAGUAGAGGUCGACGAUCAGGAGGACUUUCAACAGCUAAAAGACAUGAUGGUCCCGAAACAGAAAGAGCUUGUAACCGAACAGGCCCUUUAUGACGCCGACCUUAGUUCG